GAAUAAGGUAUAAAGGGCAUACGGUGAAUGCCUUGGCACCAGCAGCCGACGAAGGACGUGGCAAGCUGCGAAAAGCUGCGGAUAGGCGCAAGCGGCCUUUGACCCGCAGAUGUCCGAAUGGGGCAACCUGCCUGGAGGAAUCCAGGCGUCCAUAAGUGGAUGGAACCCGGCGAAGUGAAACAUCUCAGUAGCCGGAGGAAGAGAAAUCGAAGAGAUUCCCUGAGUAGUGGUGAGCGAAAGGGGAAUAGCCUAAACCGAUGGCAUGUAAGGCUGCGGUCGUUGUGUUGUCGGGGUUGUGGGAAUCCUCAUGUCAGCCCGCAGGCUGACGUUGGAGUUACAAAGUUGUUAUCUAGCCGAACUGUGUUGGGAAAGCAGGCCAUAGAAGGUGAUAGCCCAGUAGGCGACAGGUAACGACCUCUGAGAGGAUCUCCCGAGUAGGCCGGAGCACGUGGAAUUCCGGUUGAAUCAGGGUGGACCAUCAUCCAAGGCUAAAUACUGCUGGUGACCGAUAGAGAAUCAGUACCGAGAGGGAAAGGUGAAAAGCACCCCUGGCGGGGAGUGAAAUAGACCUGAACCCGUGUGCCUACAAGCAAUCGGAGCGCGAGUGGCAGCGAUGUUAUGAGCGUGACGGUGUGCCUUUUGUAAAAUGAGCCGACGAGUUAUUAGACGUAGCGAGGUUAAGGUGCGUUAGCACUGUAGCCGUAGGGAAACCGAGUCUUAAUAGGGCGUUAGUUUCGUUUAAUAGACCCGAAGCCGUACGAUCUAUCCAUGGCCAGGUUGAAGUCCGGGUGAAGCCGGAUGGAGGACCGAACCAGUAUCUGUUGAAAAAGAUUUGGAUGAGCUGUGGAUCGGAGUGAAAAGCUAAUCGAGUGCGGUGAUAGCUGGUUCUCCCCGAUAUGCAUUGAGGUGCAGCCUUGCGAGUUCAGAUAUGGGGGUAGAGCUCUGGAUGGAUGCGGGGGACUGGGGUCCUACCAAAUUCAACCAAACUUCGAAUACCAUAUCUGUAUUGCGGGAGUGAGACUACGGGUGAGAAGGUCCGUGGUCGUGAGGGAAACAGCCCAGACCGUCAGCUAAGGUCCCUAAGUGUAUGCUAAGUGUGGCAAGGAUGUGAGAGUGCCUGGACAGCCAGGAGGUUGGCUUAGAAGCAGCCACCCUUUAAAGAGUGCGUAACAGCUCACUGGUCGAGGACUUUUGCGCCGAAAAUGUAGGGGGCUAAGCAUACUGCCGAAGCUGCGGGAUAUGUGCGAAUGAGUAUAUAUCGGUAGGGGAGCGUUCCAUACGGGGUGAAGCCGAACCGCGAGGUCGCGUGGACUGUAUGGAAGUGAGAAUGUCGGCAUGAGUAACGCGAAGUGCGUGAGAAACGUACUCACCGAAAGCCCAAGGUUUCCUGGGGAAGGUUCAUCCUCCCAGGGUUAGGCGGGACCUAAGACGAGGCUGAAGAGCGUAGUCGAUGGACAGCAGGUAGACAUUCCUGCCCCGGCCUAUGCCGUUAUAACUGAAGGGGUGACACAGAAAGCUAGGUGCUCCGGGUGAUGGAAUACCCGGUCCAAGGAUGUAGGAAGGCGCUUCAGGCAAAUCCGAGGCGCUAUUUCUGAGGUCUGAUGGGGAGAUCCCACGGGAUCGAAGUCAUUGAAGCUCGGCUGUCGAGAAAAGCCUCUAGGGAGGUAUAGGCUGCCCGUACCCGAAACCGACGCAGGUGGGCUAGCUGAGAAGGCUCAGGUGAGCGGGAAAACCCUCGUUAAGGAACUCUGCAAGUUGACCCCGUAACCUAGGGAGAAGGGGUGCCACUCUGGUGAAGUGUAAAUCAUAUGGAGCUAAGGGUGGUCGCAGAAACCAGGCUCAGGCGACUGUUUACUAAAAACACAGGUCUCUGCAUAAGGCGUAAGCCGAAGUAUAGGGACUGACACCUGCCCGGUGCUGGAAGGUUAAAUGGAGAGGUUAGCGCAAGCGACGCUUUGAAAUGAAGCCCCAGUAAACGGCGGCCGUAACUAUAACGGUCCUAAGGUAGCGAAAUUCCUUGUCGGGUAAGUUCCGACCUGCACGAAUGGUGUAACGAUCUGAGCACUGUCUCAACGAGGGACCCGGUGAAAUUGUGGUACUGGUAAAGACGCCAGUUACCUGUGGUGGGACGGAAAGACCCCGUGGAGCUUUACUGUAGCCUGAUAUUGGAUUUUGGUCUGUCAUGUACAGGAUAGGUGGGAGGCAUAGAACGCAGGGCGUCAGCUUUGCGGGAGCCGCUGUUGGGAUACCACCCUUGACAUGCUGAAGUUCUAACUGUUUAGUCUGAAUCGGCUGGCAGGACAGUGUCAGGUGGGCAGUUUGACUGGGGCGGUCGCCUCCUAAAGAGUAACGGAGGCGCGCAAAGGUCACCUCAGGGCGUAUGGAAACCGCCCAUAGAGAGCGCAAAGGUAUAAGGUGGCUUGACUGUGAGAGAGACGUUUCGAACAGGAACGAAAGUUGGUCUUAGUGAUCCGGCGGUACCGAGUGGAAGGGCCGUCGCUCAACGGAUAAAAGCUACCCCGGGGAUAACAGGCUGAUCCUGCCCGAGAGUUCCUAUCGACGGCAGGGUUUGGCACCUCGAUGUCGGCUCGUCGCAUCCUGGGGCUGAAGCAGGUCCCAAGGGUUGGUCUGUUCGCCCAUUAAAGCGGUACGUGAGCUGGGUUUAGAACGUCGUGAGACAGUUCGGUCCCUAUCCACCAUAGGCGUAGGGUAUUUGAGGAGAUCUGCUUCUAGUACGAGAGGACCGAAGUGGACGAACCUCUGGUGUACCGGUUGUAGCGCCCGCUGCAUAAGCCGGGUAGCUAUGUUCGGGUCGGAUAACCGCUGAAGGCAUCUAAGCGGGAAGCCGCCUCCAAGAUGAGAUACCCCAUUCCGAUAGGGAAGUAAGGCGUCCUGAAGAUGACAGGAUUGAUAGGCCGGAAGUGUACGAGCUGAGAGGCUUUGAGCUGACCGGUACUAAUACGCCGAGGCCUUAUUCUC
This is a ribosomal RNA of Aminobacterium colombiense DSM 12261, 2979 nucleotides long. It matches the Rfam family "Bacterial large subunit ribosomal RNA". The record is from Rfam. Lineage: Bacteria; Thermotogati; Synergistota; Synergistia; Synergistales; Aminobacteriaceae.